UGACAGGAGCUCAGCAUCCCUGUUCAAGGUC
RNAcentral lists this non-coding RNA (31 nucleotides) under Macaca fascicularis (crab-eating macaque). The record is from RNAcentral. Lineage: Eukaryota; Metazoa; Chordata; Mammalia; Primates; Cercopithecidae. RNAcentral also lists the same sequence under 1 other name.